This 459-nucleotide ribosomal RNA is filed under the name uncultured bacterium. Its description in RNAcentral is "partial 16S ribosomal RNA". It matches the Rfam family "Bacterial small subunit ribosomal RNA", at positions 339 to 795 of the family's 1533-position model. The record is from RNAcentral.
CUACGGGAUGCUGCAGUAAGGAAUAUUGCGCAAUGGAGGCAACUCUGACGCAGCCAUGCCGCGUGCAGGAAGAAGGCCUUAUGGGUCGUAAACUGCUUUUAUUUAGGAAUAAACCCCCGAACGUGUUCGGGGCUGAAGGUACUAAACGAAUAAGCACCGGCUAACUCCGUGCCAGCAGCCGCGGUAAUACGGAGGGUGCAAGCGUUAUCCGGAUUUAUUGGGUUUAAAGGGUGCGCAGGCGGGCUAUUAAGUCAGUGGUGAAAUCCCGGGGCUCAACUCCGGAACUGCCAUUGAUACUGAUAGUCUUGAGUUUGGUUGAAGUGGGCGGAAUGUAGCAUGUAGCGGUGAGAUGCAUAGAUAUGCUACAGAACACCAAUCGCGAAGGCAGCUCACUAAGCCAAAACUGACGCUCAUGCACGAAAGCGUGGGGAUCAAACAGGAUUAGAUACCCUGGUAGUC